This 279-nucleotide ribosomal RNA is filed under the name uncultured bacterium. RNAcentral describes it as "partial 16S ribosomal RNA". It matches the Rfam family "Bacterial small subunit ribosomal RNA", at positions 506 to 784 of the family's 1533-position model. The record is from RNAcentral.
UGCCAGCAGCCGCGGUAAUACGGAGGGGGCUAGCGUUGUUCGGAAUUACUGGGCGUAAAGCGCACGUAGGCGGACUAUUAAGUCAGGGGUGAAAUCCCGGGGCUCAACCCCGGAACUGCCUCUGAUACUGGUAGUCUUGAGUUCGAGAGAGGUGAGUGGAAUUCCGAGUGUAGAGGUGAAAUUCGUAGAUAUUCGGAGGAACACCAGUGGCGAAGGCGGCUUUCUGGACCAAUACUGACGCUGAGGUGCGAAAGCGUGGGGAGCAAACAGGAUUAGAUA